UACGAAGGGGGCUAGCGUUGCUCGGAAUCACUGGGCGUAAAGCGCACGUAGGCGGCUUUUUAAGUCAGGGGUGAAAUCCUGGAGCUCAACUCCAGAACUGCCUUUGAUACUGAGGAUCUUGAGUUCGGGAGAGGUGAGUGGAACUGCGAGUGUAGAGGUGAAAUUCGUAGAUAUUCGCAAGAACACCAGUGGCGAAGGCGGCUCACUGGCCCGAUACUGACGCUGAGGUGCGAAAGCGUGGGGAGCAAACAGG
This 253-nucleotide ribosomal RNA is filed under the name uncultured bacterium. Its description in RNAcentral is "partial 16S ribosomal RNA". It matches the Rfam family "Bacterial small subunit ribosomal RNA", at positions 524 to 776 of the family's 1533-position model. The record is from RNAcentral.